CCUUAGUCCUACCACUUGGCUCUACCCCUUUGUUUUGCAGGUGGCUGUGAAAGGGUAGUGUUGUCCCAUUUCUCUAUGUGAUGUAGGGGUAGUGGCCAUCUAGCCCUUUAACCAUAGAGUUUUCUGGACCCCCCUAGAAACAAAGGGGGUAGAUGGAAACUCCUGAAUGUUUUACGAACGGAUGAAGCAAAACAACAUGUGGACUGCUGCGGGUAAAAUUGCUGAUAAAUGGAUGCGUCUUUGACAUGAGGACACAGUGUACUAUUCCCCGGGUCAGAGUCAGGAGGGGGCGGAUGACAAAGAGCUACGAGAACACGUUACACUCCAGUACAGAGCUAAUGGAAAAACACAUUCAUCCGUAGAAUACUGGAAUCAGGAGCAGUGGAAAAAGAAACAAGUGGAGAAACGGGUGAAUCCCAGAGGACGCGACGAGCCCCUGCACAGGAAAAAAACGACAUCACGUAUCAUGUUUCUUUUCUUCAUCCAUUUAAACACCUAAGACUGUGUUUUCACACUGGAAGACAGAAUUUGAAUACUAUUUGGCAAUAUAUGCAUCAGAUUAAAGAAUGAUAAAUGA
Hippoglossus stenolepis (Pacific halibut) is the source of this 577-nucleotide long non-coding RNA. RefSeq lists it as uncharacterized. Lineage: Eukaryota; Metazoa; Chordata; Actinopteri; Pleuronectiformes; Pleuronectidae. The record is from RefSeq and is a predicted model, not a curated record. The transcript is spliced from 3 exons.